Molecule: transfer RNA, 76 nt
Filed under: Desulfobacca sp. RBG_16_60_12
Lineage: Bacteria; Pseudomonadati; Thermodesulfobacteriota; Desulfobaccia; Desulfobaccales; Desulfobaccaceae
Also listed under: 7 other names
Description: tRNA-His
Rfam family: tRNA
About the family: Transfer RNA (tRNA) molecules are approximately 80 nucleotides in length.
Source: RNAcentral
GUGGGCGUAGCUCAGUUGGCAGAGCACCGGGUUGUGGCCCCGGCGGUCGCGGGUUCAAGUCCCGUCGUUCACCCCA